Molecule: long non-coding RNA, 430 nt
Filed under: Olea europaea subsp. europaea
Lineage: Eukaryota; Viridiplantae; Streptophyta; Magnoliopsida; Lamiales; Oleaceae
Source: RNAcentral
UUGCAAAAUCGUCUGGUCUGAACUCAAGUUCCUCUACUUUUAUGCUUCUUUUGGCUGCUGUUGAUGCUUGACAUGGGGAAUGCCAGGAAGGCAUCUAACUACCAUUAUUCUAAUUUUUACUAUGUUUUUAAUUCUGUUCAAUCCCCGUUGUUGGAAAUUUUAACAAGUAGACUUGUACAAGAAAGCACCAAAGAAUGGCAUUAUGUAACUAAAGAUGUCAUAGUACAAAAACCUCCCAAACAUAUUAGCUUUUCAACCCAUCUAUAACUGAACCAAAUUCCAAAUUAAAUAAUAAUUGGCAAAACACAGCGGUGAGUGGCACCAUUUGAGGGGUUGGAAAAAUCCGUGCUUGUUAGUUUUUCUGGCACUGGUUUUGGAUGGUUUAAAAACUACUCAAAAUCAGUGUAGUAUAUUUUUGAGUGGUUCUUCC